This 1101-nucleotide long non-coding RNA is filed under the name Sciurus vulgaris (Eurasian red squirrel). RNAcentral's name for it is "lncRNA (ENSSVLG00005020042.1)". The record is from RNAcentral. Lineage: Eukaryota; Metazoa; Chordata; Mammalia; Rodentia; Sciuridae.
AUGUACACAAAUAUAGACUAUGAAAUGGGCCAAUUCCUUGGUGAGAUGACCCCUCCAGUCCAGGAUGAGACGGCCCCGCUCCAGGGUGAGAUGGGCCCACCUGUCCAGGUCGAGACAGCCCCACUCCAGGGUGAGAUGAGUCCACUUGAGGUUGAGACGGCUCCACUUCAGGAUGAGACAGCACAACCGGUCCAGGGUGAGACGGCCCCACCGUUCCAGGUUGAGACGGCCCCACUGCAGGAUGAGACAGCUCCACCAAACCAGGUUGAGACGGCCCCACUGCAGGAUGAGACAGCUCCACCAAACCAGGUUGAGACGGCCCCACUGCAGGAUGAGACAGCUCCACCAAACCAGGUUGAGACGGCCCCACUGCAGGAUGAGACAGCUCCACCAAACCAGGUUGAGAUGGCCCCACUUCAGGGGGAGACGGCCCCAAUUCAGGGUGAGACGGCUCCACUUGAGGUUGAGACAGCCCCACUUCAGGGUGAGACAACCCCACCAGUCCAGGUUGAUACAGCCCCACUGGUACAGGGUGAGACAGUACAACCAGGCCAGGGUGAGAUGGCCCCACCAUUCCAGGUUGAGACGGCCCCACUGCAGGGUGAGACAGCCCCAGUCCAAGGUGAGACAGCUCCACCAAACCAGGUGGAAACGGCCCCACUGGAGGUUGAGACGGCUCCAGUCGAAGUGGAAACAGGACCACCACUUGAGGAUGAGACAGCGUCAGUACAGGGUGAGGCUGCUCUGCCGGGCCAGGUGGAAACCGCCCAACUCCAAGGUGAGAUGGCCACAGCAGUCCAGGGUGAGACAGCAGCAGUUCAGGGUGAGACUGCCUCAGCAGUCCAGGCCGGGAUGGCCUCACUCCAGGAUGAGACAGCCCUGCUCCAAGGUGAGACAGCCCCACUCCUGGGUGAGACGGCCCCACUUCUAGGUGACAUGGCCCCACUUGAGGAGACCUCAGUCCCUCCGAACUCAGCAGAAUUGGAGUCUUCGUCCACGAACCUCCAGACUGAGCAGGCUAAGGGAGUGCUGCAAGGCCGAAACAUUGUGCUGCUCGUCACUAUCCCUUUGUUACUGAUAGUAGGCCUUAUUCUUUGGUGA